GAUGAACGCUAGCUACAGGCUUAACACAUGCAAGUCGAGGGACCGGCGCACGGGUGAGUAACACGUAUCCAACCUGCCCUUUACUCGGGGAUAGCCUUUCGAAAGACAGAUUAAUACCCGAUAUAAAGGAUGGGGAUGCGUUCCAUUAGGUUGUUGGUGAGGUAACGGCACACCAAGCCUUCGAUGGAUAGGGUUUCUGAGAGGAAUGUCCACCACAUUGGAACUGAGACCCGGACCAAACUCCUACGGGAGGCAGCAGUGAGGAACAUUGGUCAAUGGGCGCUAGCCGGAACCAGCCAAGUAGCGUGAAGGAUGAAGGCUUAUGGGUCGUAAACUUCUUUUAUAUAAGAAUAUGUAUUAUAUGAAUAAGGAACGGCUAACUCCGUGCCAGCAGCCGCGGUAAUUC
RNAcentral lists this ribosomal RNA (406 nucleotides) under uncultured bacterium. Its description in RNAcentral is "partial 16S ribosomal RNA". It matches the Rfam family "Bacterial small subunit ribosomal RNA", at positions 28 to 526 of the family's 1533-position model. The record is from RNAcentral.